UGCCUUACACAUGCAAGUCGAACGGUAACAGGUCUUCGGAUGCUGACGAGUGGCGAACGGGUGAGUAAUACAUCGGAACGUGCCCGAUCGUGGGGGAUAACGGAGCGAAAGCUUUGCUAAUACCGCAUACGAUCUACGGAUGAAAGCAGGGGACCGCAAGGCCUUGCGCGGACGGAGCGGCCGAUGGCAGAUUAGGUAGUUGGUGGGAUAAAAGCUUACCAAGCCGACGAUCUGUAGCUGGUCUGAGAGGACGACCAGCCACACUGGGACUGAGACACGGCCCAGACUCCUACGGGAGGCAGCAGUGGGGAAUUUUGGACAAUGGGCGAAAGCCUGAUCCAGCCAUGCCGCGUGCAGGAUGAAGGCCUUCGGGUUGUAAACUGCUUUUGUACGGAACGAAAAGACUCCUUCUAAUAAAGGGGGUCCAUGACGGUACCGUAAGAAUAAGCACCGGCUAACUACGUGCCAGCAGCCGCGGUAAUACGUAGGGUGCAAGCGUUAAUCGGAAUUACUGGGCGUAAAGCGUGCGCAGGCGGUUAUAUAA
This 544-nucleotide ribosomal RNA is filed under the name Acidovorax sp. AT7. RNAcentral's name for it is "bacterial SSU rRNA". It matches the Rfam family "Bacterial small subunit ribosomal RNA", at positions 45 to 586 of the family's 1533-position model. Lineage: Bacteria; Pseudomonadati; Pseudomonadota; Betaproteobacteria; Burkholderiales; Comamonadaceae. The record is from RNAcentral.